CAGAUAUCAGCUUUACCAUAGAUAGGUGGGAGGCGAAUUAAGUAACGGGCGAAUGGGCUACGCUGUGGUGCUUUGAUAUGCACCCGGGGCCUCUCCAUAGCGUGUAGGGCCCUGAUCCCUCCGGGUCUCUUGAAUAGCUAUCCUUAGCUAAUAUUAGGUACUCAGUUGUACUGCGCUUAGGCGUAGAUUAAAAAUCGGGUCU
Cinara cedri is the source of this 202-nucleotide non-coding RNA. NCBI's taxonomy places the organism in Eukaryota, Metazoa, Arthropoda, Insecta, Hemiptera, Aphididae. The record is from the annotation of a GenBank genome assembly.